AUCGCUUCUUGACCUUUUGGCUAAGAUCAAGUGUAGUAUCUGUUCUUAUCAGUUUAAAAAGUAAGUGAUGACUUAUAAAAAUAAAUGCACCAAACCUUCU
This is a small nuclear RNA of Heterocephalus glaber (naked mole-rat), 100 nucleotides long. Its record names the gene U2. It matches the Rfam family "U2 spliceosomal RNA". From Rfam's summary of the family: U2 is a small nuclear RNA (snRNA) component of the spliceosome (involved in pre-mRNA splicing). Complementary binding between U2 snRNA (in an area lying towards the 5' end but 3' to hairpin I) and the branchpoint sequence (BPS) of the intron results the bulging out of an unpaired adenosine, on the BPS, which initiates a nucleophilic attack at the intronic 5' splice site, thus starting the first of two transesterification reactions that mediate splicing. NCBI's taxonomy places the organism in Eukaryota, Metazoa, Chordata, Mammalia, Rodentia, Bathyergidae. The record is from Ensembl.